UCAACACUACUUUAUACAUGAAAGAUAAGAAAGAGAAAUUGAUUUUUCCUUUUAAAAAAAUAAACCUAUCUUUUCAUCUUAACCGUUCAAAUUCAUUUAUUUCUUCAAUCUUAGCCAUUCAAAUAAAAGUUGCUUAAUUUACACCAAAAGAUAUACCGUUCCAAACACACAGAGUAUCCCUCACACACAGCCACCCUUCUUUCACACAAUCGCUCCCAGCACAGCCGUCGCCGAUGUUUGUUGUUCUUUUUAAGGUGUUUACAACAGUGUUGUCACUUCACAUUAUAACGAUCUCUUAGGGGUUAGUUAGCAUUGAUGCUAGACCGCGUGAGAGAAUUGUAAUUAGUGACAAAGUUGUGCUGGAUAAUAAGGUACAUCUUUUGAAGAACCCUAUAUAAUGUUUGAUGAUGAUUUAUACUUAUGAUUUAUCUAUUGAUAAAGGCAUUUUUAUGUUGUUAAGUGUUAAUGAGUGAUGUACAUUUCAUCAUCAGGUAAUCAACGGCCAACAAUAUGUACCUUGGAGUAGACGAUGAUCCUCCCUCCCAUUUUAUUCAAUGGACAUCAACAGCAAGCUAACUAUUUUUUUUGAAAAGCAGUGGUGAUUGGACUCAGCGGCAUGUCUCUUCAUCGUCCGGUAGAGAUCGACCACGUUACCAGCACAGUCAAUCCGAGGGCAUGACAGGGCAAGCUAACUAUUCUAAAGAUUGGAAAAGAAAGUGCACUAUCGAGCUUUGAUGAAGAUUUACAACCCUACGAUAGCGGACCAUUACUUCUCAAGCUCAUUUGACCUGGUAGGAGUUUUACCCAUUAUCGGAUAUGCUAAAUCUUUGUGUUUUAUAAUUCCAUAGUGUAUAUUCAGAGACUGCGAGCCAGACCAUGGAGCUCAUAAAGGUGCUUUAAGUGGAUGCAACUGAUGACAAUGUAUUUUUCGUUGCUAUGUAUUAACACACCACUGCUGAUCUUAU
Long non-coding RNA from Erigeron canadensis, 965 nucleotides. RefSeq lists it as uncharacterized. Lineage: Eukaryota; Viridiplantae; Streptophyta; Magnoliopsida; Asterales; Asteraceae. The record is from RefSeq and is a predicted model, not a curated record. The transcript has 3 exons.